AGUGAACGCUGGCGGUAGGCCUAACACAUGCAAGUCGAACGGCAGCACAGUAAGAGCUUGCUCUUACGGGUGGCGAGUGGCGGACGGGUGAGGAAUACAUCGGAAUCUACUUUUUCGUGGGGGAUAACGGAGGGAAACUUACGCUAAUACCGCAUACGACCUACGGGUGAAAGCAGUGGAUCUUCGGACCUUGCGCGAUUGAAUGAGCCGAUGUCGGAUUAGCUAGUUGGCGGGGUAAAGGCCCACCAAGGCGACGAUCCGUAGCUGGUCUGAGAGGAUGAUCAGCCACACUGGAACUGAGACACGGUCCAGACUCCUACGGGAGGCAGCAGUGGGGAAUAUUGGACAAUGGGCGAAAGCCUGAUCCAGCCAUACCGCGUGGGUGAAGAAGGCCUUCGGGUUGUAAAGCCCUUUUGUUGGGAAAGAAAAGAAGCAGGUUAAUACCCCGCUGUUCUGACGGUACCCAAAGAAUAAGCACCGGCUAACUUCGUG
This 492-nucleotide ribosomal RNA is filed under the name uncultured bacterium. RNAcentral describes it as "partial 16S ribosomal RNA". It matches the Rfam family "Bacterial small subunit ribosomal RNA", at positions 29 to 507 of the family's 1533-position model. The record is from RNAcentral.